GGGGAUUGGUAUACCCGACUUGAAAUCGGGUGUCCGCAAGGACCGAGGGUUCGAAUCCCUCCCUCUCCG
Molecule: transfer RNA, 69 nt
Filed under: Leptolyngbya sp. FACHB-60
Lineage: Bacteria; Bacillati; Cyanobacteriota; Cyanophyceae; Leptolyngbyales; Leptolyngbyaceae
Also listed under: 8 other names
Description: tRNA-OTHER
Rfam family: tRNA
About the family: Transfer RNA (tRNA) molecules are approximately 80 nucleotides in length. Their secondary structure includes four short double-helical elements and three loops (D, anti-codon, and T loops).
Source: RNAcentral